GACGAACGCUGGCGGCGUGCUUAACACAUGCAAGUCGAACGAAGAGCGAUGGAAGCUUGCUUCUAUCACUCUUAGUGGCGAACGGGUGAGUAACGCGUAAUCAACCUGCCCUUCAGAGGGGGACAACAGUUGGAAACGACUGCUAAUACCGCAUACGAUCUAAUCUCGGCAUCGAGGAUAGAUGAAAGGUGGCCUCUACAUGUAAGCUAUCACUGAAGGAGGGGAUUGCGUCUGAUUAGCUAGUUGGAGGGGUAACGGCCCACCAAGGCGAUGAUCAGUAGCCGGUCGGAGAGGAUGAACGGCCACAUUGGGACUGAGACACGGCCCAGACGCCUACGGGAGGCAGCAGUGGGGAAUCUUCCGCAAUGGACGAAAGUCUGACGGAGCAACGCCGCGGGAGCGAUGACGGCCUUCGGGUUGUAAAGCUCUGUUAAUCGGGACGAAAGGCCUUCUUGCGAAUAGUGAGAAGGAUUGACGGUACCGGAAUAGAAAGCCACGGCUAACUACGUG
This 510-nucleotide ribosomal RNA is filed under the name uncultured bacterium. Its description in RNAcentral is "partial 16S ribosomal RNA". It matches the Rfam family "Bacterial small subunit ribosomal RNA", at positions 28 to 507 of the family's 1533-position model. The record is from RNAcentral.